UCAGCACGGAUGAGCGCCAACGAGCAAAGUAAAGAACUGGCUUUACUCUCUACUCAUCUCGAAACAGAAGAGAAAGAGGGAUAGAGAAGGAAACUAGUGACAAAGAACGAAAAAGAGGGGCUAGCAAAUAGAAAAAGAGAAAAUCGAGGGGCCGUCAUAAUUCCUUGAAUUGAACGGCGGGUUAUUCUCCACCAAGGUUACACCGACGUAGAGGUUGAACGAAGCAAGCGGGCCAAGCAAGCAGGCUAGCAACCUAGCAGGCAGACUAGCAUGCAAGCAAGUAAGUAAACGAGCAAGGCAGUCAGGCAAGCCAGGCAAGCAGACAGGCAAGUUGGCUGGCAGUGAGACGCAGAGAGAAAAGCGAAAGAGGGGGCACAUGACGAGUAGGAUGAGAAGAGGUUGGGUAAGAGAGGAAGGAGGAAGGUAGGGAAUCGAUAGAACGACAAGGACGGUGCGCGAGUAUAUACCGCAGCACGGCAGCAUCAGGCGUCGUCGGCGGUAUAUGGAGUUGGAUCAGACGGGUGGAGAGAGAGGAGGGUAAAAACGUUUCGAGGCGUCCCUGUCUGGCGGCGCCACCGUUGCGUCGCUGUAGAAACGUGGUACCAAUGCUGCUGAUGGUAUAUGUGUGUGAGUUAGCGGUAACGAUGUAGAAUAAGGGAAUGUUAGUGGUAGUAGGAGUACGGUGGGGGAAACGUCAGGCUGGCAGGCUCGUGGGAGAGAGAAGUGAACGGCGGACAACGAGAGCUCAUGGGGCGACAAGGAAGGGGAUUGGUCGAAGCGUCGGUACGACUGGGGGGAGGAAGGAGGGCAACACGAUCAGGUCGGCAGGCGGGUGAGAGAAGGAAGAAUAGAGAGAGAAGGGGAGAGAGAGAGAGAUGGAGGAAGAAACGUUGAUGUCGAGCAGCGAGGUGAGCGAAACAGAAUGAGGAGGGGAGUGGACGGGCGGUUGGUCGACAGCAUGGGAGAGGGUCAGAGGGGUAAGGGGAGGUAGAGCCGACUUUAUGCAGCUGCGGGACGAUAACAACGAUGGGCUACAGGACCGCCGCUAUAGCUGGGGAAAUGCCAAAUGGGCUACAGGACUGUGCCGGCCUAGCUGUACGUUCGCUCGCUCGUAGUGGCAUGGCGGACGGGCGGUAGAGAGAAGCAGGCAGGAAAGGCGGGAAGGAGAAAGGGAUUUCAAGCGGUCGUCUCUUCUCGUCUGCCUCUGCGCUCUACCUACCUAUGUAUACCUACCUACCUACCCGGCCCGGGUGCUCUCUCCGGGUACUCUUCUCUCCACUGCCUGGAACGUACCGUCCUGGCCAUACCUAACCUCUACUGUUUUCUGCGGCUAGCGCCCUUGCUGAUGUUCCUCAACAUCGGAGCACGUAGCCGCUUACGCAGACUUCGAUGUCAUUCAUCUUGAGCGAGUUUUAUACCAGCCUGUCCAGAGUUCUAUCUGGGAAAUUUAGAUUUCGUUGGAAUUUCAAAAAACCAUCCGAAUCGAUAAUUCACUGUUAGAGACGAGAGACUAAUUUUUUCAAAUGAUCGUACUUAAUUCACUCAUCGUUGCCAAGCACAAGAAAAAGUGGAUAUAUAGAGGCGCGAGAACAGCAUGCUUUCGACAAUCGUCAACGAGAUACGUCGGUCCACGCAAUGACGUCAGAGGCUGGUCCAAUCCUGUCGAAUACGUCCGUGGCCCGAUCUCACCCUAUUGAGCGAGAGAGAAAGGAAGAUGCGGUGUAUAGGUACAUAAGGUAGGCUAGACAAAGAUGGAGUGGUAGUUAUAUAGAUAUCGACAGGGAGGAAAGAGACAGAGAAAGAGAGUCGCAGAGGGACGCAAGAGCCAGCAAAUAAGAGCACAGUCCAACAAAUAGAAGGAGAAGACAGUUCGAGUUCCGCUCUCCUGCUCUUACGAGACGUGCACGCUGAUUCAAGCCUUGCGAUAUUGUUGCCAGAAUUGUUCGUUAUAAUUUACAAUGUUCAGAAUAUUCCUGAUGUGAUCGUUGAGACAAAUCCUGAUUUUCUAUGACAUAUGACGCGUUCGAGCACAAAUACCUAUCAGUAUUUUUCAUGCAAAAGAACGAAAGAGGUUAUGCGACAACGAUUGAGAAAAGAAAGUAUUGAAACAUCUACAUAUUUUCUAUUCUAUUCAAAUACUUAAACUAGAAUUUCAUUAAAUGUUAUAGCUUUAACAGACACGAUCGAUAACGUAAAAUAAUUUUAACUGUAUUUUAUAUUUUUACCGUUCACAAAUUACGAAAGAGAUUCAAUGCUAGCUUGAUGUUAGAGUUAGAAUUUAAAAUUUCCAGUAAAAAUCCCGUCUUUCGAACUUCAUUGCAUAUUUAUCGACUAGCAGUAAUAAAUGGACUUACAAAUUAGUUCUCUCUACAAAAUUGUUUAUUGCCACUGCGAACUAAAACGGUCAAUUACUAAAAGACAGAUACGUGCAUACUCAAACAGAAAACGAUACAAGUGUUUCAUUUGAAAAUUAAACGUGUGAAGUUAUUAGCAAUAAAUUAUAAUAGUAAAGUAAAAUUAUUAAUGCGCACCUCAUGUACACAUGAUAUUUCCAAAAGUGUUGUAUUAUUAUUGAAAUUAUUGAACUUAAUUGACAAAAUUAAAAAUUUAGUAUCCGUUUUUUUGGUAUUAUAGU
Bombus terrestris (buff-tailed bumblebee) is the source of this 2635-nucleotide long non-coding RNA. RefSeq lists it as uncharacterized. NCBI's taxonomy places the organism in Eukaryota, Metazoa, Arthropoda, Insecta, Hymenoptera, Apidae. The record is from RefSeq and is a predicted model, not a curated record. The transcript is spliced from 3 exons.